Molecule: ribosomal RNA, 301 nt
Filed under: uncultured bacterium
Lineage: Bacteria
Description: partial 16S ribosomal RNA
Rfam family: Bacterial small subunit ribosomal RNA
Source: RNAcentral
CAGCCGCCGCGGUAAUACGGAGGGAGCUAGCGUUGUUCGGAAUUACUGGGCGUAAAGCGCACGUAGGCGGUUAUUCAAGUCAGAGGUGAAAGCCCGGGGCUCAACCCCGGAACUGCCUUUGAAACUAGAUGACUGGAAUCUUGGAGAGGUCAGUGGAAUUCCGAGUGUAGAGGUGAAAUUCGUAGAUAUUCGGAAGAACACCAGUGGCGAAGGCGACUGACUGGACAAGUAUUGACGCUGAGGUGCGAAAGCGUGGGGAGCAAACAGGAUUAGAUACCCGUGUAGUCCCUGUCUCUUAUAC